Molecule: ribosomal RNA, 914 nt
Filed under: uncultured archaeon
Lineage: Archaea
Description: bacterial SSU rRNA
Rfam family: Archaeal small subunit ribosomal RNA
Source: RNAcentral
UUCCGGUUGAUCCCGCCGGACCUGACUGCUAUCGGAUUGAUACUAAGCCAUGCGAGUCUUUGUAGUAAUACAAGGCAGACGGCUCAGUAACGCGUAGUCAACCUACCCUAUGGACGGGGAUAAUCUCGGGAAACUGAGCAUAAUACCCGGCGUACCAUCAUUCCUGGAAUGGUUGGUGGUUAAAAUGAUUCGUCGCCGUAGGAUGGGACUGCGACCUAUCAGCUUGUUGGUGGGGUAAAGGCCCACCAAGGCGAUUACAGGUACGGGCUCUGAGAGGAGAAGCCCGGAGAUGGGUACUGAGACACGGACCCAGGCCCUAUGGGGCGCAGCAGGCGAGAAAACUUUGCAAUGUGCGAAAGCACGACAAGGUUAAUCCGAGUGAUUUCUGCUAAAGGAAUCUUUUGCCAGUUCUAAAAAUACUAGUGAAUAAGGGGUGGGCAAGUUCUGGUGUCAGCCGCCGCGGUAAAACCAGCACCUCAAGUGGUCAGGAGGAUUAUUGGGCCUAAAGCAUCCGUAGCCUGUUCUGUAAGUUUUCGGUUAAAUCUAUAUGCUCAACGUAUAGGCUGUCGAAAAUACUGCAGUGCUAGGAAGUGGGAGAGGUAGACGGUACUUGAUAGGAAGGGGUAAAAUCCUUUGAUCUAUCGAUGACCACCUGUGGCGAAGGCGGUCUACCAGAACACGUUCGACGGUGAGGGAUGAAAGCUGGGGGAGCAAACCGGAUUAGAUACCCGGGUAGUCCCAGCUGUAAACGAUGCAGACUCGAUGAUGCAUUGGCAUAUAGCCGGUGCAGUGUCGCAGGGAAGCCGUUAAGUCUGCCGCCUGGGAAGUACGUACGCAAGUAUGAAACUUAAAGGAAUUGGCGGGGGAGCACCACAAGGGGUGAAGCCUGCGGUUCAAUUGGAGUCAACGCCGGG